Molecule: long non-coding RNA, 1376 nt
Organism: Lycium barbarum (goji berry)
Lineage: Eukaryota; Viridiplantae; Streptophyta; Magnoliopsida; Solanales; Solanaceae
Exons: 7
Source: RefSeq, a predicted model, not a curated record
UACUUAGAAGCUUCUACCACCUUUUUCUUCUAUCUACUACUACUACUGCAUCUCACAAUCACUCUGCUUUUACAAGCUUCCACCUUUGUCUUCUACUGCUACUACUUCUACUAAUCUAUCUAUUAUCUCAAGUAUCUUCUGAUUUUUGGUAUUUCAGUAUAUGGGUUUUCCCCUUUCUUAAUGUUUUUAUGUGAUUAUAUGUUCAAACACCUAUGAUUUUUUAAAGAUUGACACUUCAAUAGCUGAUUAAUGAAUAAUAUGACUUCACUAAUUUUUUGGGUUUACCAGGUUCUUCUUCAUAUUUUGAUCGUUUUGCUGCGUGUCUUCACUGCUCAGUUUAGGUGAUCUACACAGUUAUUAGGAGGAAAACUUGUGUCAGGCUUAGACGACUUCGUCUGCUCAAGUUGCGUCCACUUUAAUGCAUGCGUGUGAAAAGCUUGUGCUUCUACUUUGUCUUUUGCUGCUUUUUCCAGCAAGCAAUUGCAUCUUUUAACUUCCAUCACAAGAGAAAAAUAUCAGCUGUUUCAAUCUCAAAGGUCUCCAUCACAUGUGUUGGUAUUUCCGGAUAGAAGGUGUUCUUCAAGAUUCUCAUCUAUAAGGGUCUGAUUCCACGGACAAAACUUUUGCUUACUCUUGGUGGAACAUUCUUUUUGGCAUUUUGGUCUAUUCCAGCUGUCUCGGCUUGUGACCUGGCAAGCACAAGAAGAAAAUUAAGUUAAGCUGGACAACCAUUAAGGUUUUGGAUCGGUUAUGAUUUUUUCAUUAAUUGCAUACACCAGGAAAAUGCUCCUCAGCCAUCCCAUUCGACCAAUAAUUUCGUUGAUGUUUAGGGGUUUGUUAAAAGACAUGCAUAGUUCUUGACCCUUAAUAGCCAGCUUUGGCCUACCGAAUGUUGACAGCCUUGUCUCUCUUAAAAUCGGAAAAGUUCAGAGUCGCGAAGCAGGGGGGAAAGAUUAUCUACCAAAGCUCGAAGAAAGGUGAUAUCUUAUACUGGAGCUUCGAAAUUUUCCCUUCAAAUUUAGAAUUGCUGCAACACUCAUGGUAAUAGUAUGAAGUGUUAUUAUGUCCUGUACUGUACAUGUAAUUGGUUUUGACAAUACGCUUGAAAUGAGUAUACAAAUGUUUUUCCAUGUUGAAUCUUUCAAGUUAUUUUGUAGCUGGAGGUUGCAAACAAUGAAUCGAGCAUUUUCCCGUUAUUCACAUAAAAGUACAUUUAAGCCGGAAUGUUGGGUCCGCGCAUCACUAUCUAGUUUGUAUAUAUUUGAGAGAUAGAGGAAAGAAGUCAUUUAUACAUUACAUAUGCAAUGUAUCGUCAUUGUAUAAAUAUGUAUAUAAUAAUUGUAUAAUAUGUAUAUAAUCAUUGUGUAUACAUUAUA